UACGUAGGUGGCAAGCGUUGUCCGGAUUUAUUGGGUUUAAAGGGUGCGUAGGUGGUCUAUUAAGUCAGUGCUGAAAUAUCCCGGCUUAACCGGGAGGGUGGCAUUGAUACUGAUGGACUUGAGUAAAGUUGAGGUGGGCGGAAUUGACGGUGUAGCGGUGAAAUGCUUAGAUAUCGUCAAGAACACCUAUUGCGAAGGCAGCUCACUAAGCUUUAACUGACACUGAUGCACGAAAGUGUGGGGAUCAAACAGG
Molecule: ribosomal RNA, 253 nt
Filed under: uncultured bacterium
Lineage: Bacteria
Description: partial 16S ribosomal RNA
Rfam family: Bacterial small subunit ribosomal RNA
Source: RNAcentral